CAAAGGUAGCAUAAUCAUUAGUUUUUUAAUUGAAGGCUUGUAUGAAAGGUUUAACGGAAAUAAAGCUUUUUUUUAUUAUAUUGUUGAAUUUGAAUUUUAAGUUAAAAUGCUUAAUUUUUUUAAAGGGACGAGAAGACCCUAUAGAAUUUUAUAAAGUAAAUGAAAUUUAUUAUUUGGUUGGGGUGACAAUAAAAAAACUUUUGUGUUAUUUUUCAUUUUAAAUGAGUGUAGGAUCCUAAUUUUUAGAAAAAAAAAUAAAUUACCUUAGGGAUAACAGCAUAAUUUUUUUUAAAAGUUCACAUUUAUAAAAAAGAUUAUGACCUCGAUGUUGAAUUAAGAUAACUUUUUGGUGUAGGGGUUAAAAAGUUUAGUCUGUUCGACUUUAAUUUUUACAUGAUUUGAGUUCAGACCGGCGUGAGCCAGGUCG
Molecule: ribosomal RNA, 427 nt
Filed under: Klyveria setinervis
Lineage: Eukaryota; Metazoa; Arthropoda; Insecta; Hemiptera; Liviidae
Description: Diclidophlebia setinervis partial large subunit ribosomal RNA
Rfam family: Bacterial large subunit ribosomal RNA
Source: RNAcentral